UCAAGAUCCGCAACUGCUACUACUAAUCAAUACGACAUCGCGUAGGCUACCCCUGAAACAGCUCUUUCCCCUCACCCAAGUCCUGAAUUCCCAGAACACAAGGAUUUUACAGAACUUUCAAUCUCCAUAGAAGCUGUCUCCUUAUCUUCUCCAGGUUUUCUCUGAAUAGAUGCCGUCAGAGGACGCAAAACCCGUGAAGAAAGAAGAGGUAGUAAAGAAAUAACAAGGAGGAGAAGGAAAAGAGGAAGAGAAGAGCUUGAGUGCCCUACUCCAAGCCCGGAAAAAGAACCCAACAAAUGCUGGUUCUUUAGCUACAAAAACUGGGUCUAAAUUUACCAAAAUUUAAGAAAGAAGAGCCCCAAGAUGACGAUUUUGAUGAACCCAUUAAAGGAAAGGGCAAGGGUUCUUCUGGUUCUAGCUCUAAACCAGUAGCUAAAGUGAAGAAAUAAGAAGCCAAUAGCGAUGAUGAUGAUGAUCAUAAAACCAUCUUCAAAAAGACCCCUGCUUCCAAGACUGAUAAGGUGAUUUGGAUUUUUUUUCUUUAUUACGUGUGUUCCUUUUCUAAAAGUUAAAAUUUUUGGUCUUGCAUUUCAUAAAGGUGUAGGUUUUAUAAUUUUUGUUCAGUCCCCGUGGCUUGCUGACAGACAGAAGUAGUCCGUGGAAGCAAAUCUUUUAAUUUCUCUGGUACUGAAAUGGUGAAAAAGAUGUGAUUGAAGUGUAAAUUUUUAGGAUUAUUUUAUUUUAUUGUUUUUAAUUUAGAUAGAAGAAUGGAGUUAUUUGAUUGAUGGGUGUGGUUUUGUACUAUUUUGCGGAUUGGCUUGAGAUAAAGGAAUUGAACAAGAAGAUAGUAAAAAAAGAGGAAGAUAGUAAGAAGACAAAGGGGUCUGUGGCAACUGCGCAGAAUGUGAAGGAGAGGGAGAGGAAGGUUUAUGAUUUUCUUGGACAGAAGAGAGAUCCUCCUGAGGAGAGAGACCCAUUAAGGAUAUUUUAUGAGACUCUGUAUGAGCAGAUUCCGGAUAGUGAAAUGGCACAAUUCUGUUGAGACAUACUGUCUUAUUUUUUUUUUUGGUGAUGAACCUUCUUUAGGGUCCAGUCCCUUUGUUAUCACACCAAAAUCUCGGCCCCGGAAAUUGGGAAAGAAGUUUGUUGUUAGCUAAGAAGGACCUGCUUAUCACCUACAAUGCCUUCCUUGACCCUCUUUGUACCUUUAAUGAGGGCACCAUGAUCUUCCAAACUCUGAACCUAUAGUUAUUUGAAUUUAUCAUGCUGGCUUAACAAAUGAUGGAAUUGUUUGAGCUUUGAUGAUAAAGAGAGUGAUCAAACCACCCUAACUAAAUUUACUUGAGAGUUUUUUAUACGAAGUGGAUAUGGAAGGCACUGGAUAGGUUAUAUUCUCAACAGUAGACAUAAAGGCGUGCCUCUUGGUAAGCAGAUAGCACAAUGUUUGCAUGAUUUUUCUGCCCAUGCACAUAUGUUUCACAUUUUACACAGGAAUUGUACAGUGCAAGGUUGUAAACGAAGAGUUUGCAAAAGGCUUGCCAUGGUAUAGAAGGAUGUUGAGCAUCGGUGCAUAAAAUCAGCUAAAUGGAUCUUGAUGCAAAAUAGAAAUGUCGUAAAUGUCAGCUUAGAAGCAUAAAUAUACUGCACAAGUGUGUACAUAUUUAGUCACCUUAUUUUUGGUUUAGAUUGUGCCCAACAAGUAUUAAUGGGUCUAAUUCCCUAUUCAGCCUCUCAUUUGAUGUUUGGUAGUUGAGGAUGUGUAGACCAUAUGAGAAGAUUGUGGACAGCUUAUGGUGCCUGCAAUGUAACCAUAUGAUGAAUUGUGUAGAAUCUGUUGCUUUUGCCAACGCUAACACAAAGAUUUCUUUGAUAAUGUAUUAAAACAACAUCACUGUCUUAUUUCUUGUAGUUGUUUAUAUUAGAUUAUAGUAAAAGGGUUUGCUCCCUGAAUUGUAGUUUUAUUGGCAUAAAUUCACAGAUUAUUUCUAGGACAUGGCAUCUUUAUAUCCAGGUAUCUUUAAUAUAGGUCACAAUGUACUAUUUUCAUGUUGGACGUUUGAGCCAUUUUUUUUAAUGAAUUCCCUUGAAUUUGACACAAAAUAUGGCGUUUGUCUAAAAGCAAUCACAGCUUCUUUUUUCUCAAAAAUAGUGGUAGGUUCAGAAAGGGGAAAUACAGCUGUUCAUGAUCAUCUCAUAACGGUCAUGGGAGGAAUGCAUGUAUCCUUGUCUCAAAUGUUAUUCUUGUUUGUUUAUCAUACAUGGUAUCUGGAACUGAAGAACUCGGUACCAAUUUCAGUUCUCUGAAAAGAAGUUGACUUUGCUCUUGGGUUCAUCGCGCCCACGUUUUAUCUCUGCUCCAUCAUCUGCUACACCACUGAAAGUUUGGGUAUGGUUAUUUGUAUAGUGUAGCAGAUGAGCAGUUUAAUUCUCUGGCUAAUCACAACCCCUUUUCUUCUAUAAUGUAUUGCAGCGCGGCCUGCUAAAAACAUUCAACAGUUUAGACUUUCAAUAAAGUGAAAAGGUUGAUGGAAUCUGGUUUGCUCUCUAUGGAAGUGGCCAAGAAAGUUUAUGAGAAGAAACAGAAAAACAAUAAGCUCACUUUGCCGGUGGAAGCAGCUAGUGUCACUAAGAAAAUUCAGUCAGCAACUGUUACAAAAAAGACACCAUCAUCUGCAGUAUCUUCAACCAAAAACGAAGACAACAGUCUCCAAAGUAUUGUCUUCAACUAAAACGAAGGCAACAGACUCCAAAGUUGCAUCUGGACAGCCUAAGAAACGCAAGGCCGGAGAUGAAAGCUCCGAAGAUGACUUCUUAAUCACUAGGAAAAACACAAGACUAAUUAAUUGAAUUUGUUAAACUACAGGAAUAGAGUUAUAAUUAACUAAUUAGAAUUCUAUAUAUAUAUUUUAAUUAUCUGUGGUCUGCCCAGAGCGGGGCUUGGCUACGUGAA
RNA transcript from Populus nigra (black poplar), 2950 nucleotides. RefSeq lists it as uncharacterized. The record is from RefSeq and is a predicted model, not a curated record. NCBI's taxonomy places the organism in Eukaryota, Viridiplantae, Streptophyta, Magnoliopsida, Malpighiales, Salicaceae. The transcript is spliced from 3 exons.